GUGGGUAGCGGUGAAAUUCCAAUCGAGCCCGGAGAUAGCUGGUUCUCCCCGAAAUAGCUUUAGGGCUAGCCUCAAGGUGAGAGAUACGGAGGUAGAGCACUGAAUGUCCUAGGGGGUAUUGCACCUACCGAAGACUAUCAAACUCCGAAUGCCGUCAUCUUAUACUUGGGAGUCAGACUGUGGGUGAUAAGAUUCAUAGUCGAAAGGGCAACAGCCCAGAUCGUCAGCUAAGGUCCCUAAAUGUAAGUUAAGUGGUAAAGGAUGUGGGAUUGCACAGACAACCAGGAUGUUGGCUUAGAAUCAGCCACUCAUUCAAAGAGUGCGUAAUAGCUCACUGGUCGAGUGAUCCUGCGCCGAAGAUUUCCGGGGCUAAAACUUACUACCGAAGCUACGGCAUCAGUAAUGAUGGGUAGGGGAGCUUCCCAUACGGGUUGAAGCAUGACCGUAAGGACAUGUGGACAGUAUGGGAGUGAGAAUGUUGGCAUGAGUAGCGAGAUGUGGGUGAGAAUCCCACAGGCCGUAAACCCAAGGUUUCCAGGGGAAGGUUCGUCCGCCCUGGGGUAGUCGGGACCUAAGCUGAGGCCGAAAGGCGUAGGUGAUGGACAACAGGUUGAUAUUCCUGUACUACCGAUAACCGUUUGAGAGAAGGGAUGACACAGUAGGAUAAGCUAAGCACACUGUUGGUUAU
Molecule: ribosomal RNA, 688 nt
Filed under: Clostridioides difficile
Lineage: Bacteria; Bacillati; Bacillota; Clostridia; Peptostreptococcales; Peptostreptococcaceae
Description: bacterial LSU rRNA
Rfam family: Bacterial large subunit ribosomal RNA
Source: RNAcentral